GAUCAUGGCUCAGAUUGAACGCUGGCGGCAGGCCUAAUACAUGCAAGUCGAACGGUAACAUAGGAAAAGCUUGCUUUUCUGAUGACGAGUGGCGGACGGGUGAGUAAUAUUGGGAAGCUACCUGAUAGAGGGGGACAACAGUUGGAAACGACUGCUAAUACCGCAUACAGCCUGAGGGUGAAAGCAGCGAUGCGCUAUCAGAUGCGCCCAAAUGGGAUUAGCUAGUAGGUGAGGUAAGGCUCACCUAGGCGACGAUCUCUAGCUGGUCUGAGAGGAUGAUCAGCCACAUUGGGACUGAGACACGGCCCAGACUCCUACGGGAGGCAGCAGUAGGGAAUAUUGCACAAUGGAGGAAACUCUGAUGCAGCCAUGCCGCGUGUGUGAAGAAGGCCUUCGGGUUGUAAAGCACUUUCGGAGGGGAGGAGAAUGACGUUACCCUCAGAAGAAGCACCGGCUAACUCCGUGCCAGCCGCCGC
RNAcentral lists this ribosomal RNA (476 nucleotides) under uncultured bacterium. Its description in RNAcentral is "bacterial SSU rRNA". It matches the Rfam family "Bacterial small subunit ribosomal RNA", at positions 15 to 518 of the family's 1533-position model. The record is from RNAcentral.